GCAGUUACAUCCAACACCCUAACAAAGGAGAGGAAAAGAAAAACCCCCUCAAAAUGUCCCUCGGGUUUGACAAAGGGAUCCCGGACAAAAUGUGACUGUUAAUUACGACAGAACUGAAAAGCAGAAGUAAAGUAAAUCCCCCCAGGACGCCUGGGAACUGGGUGAACCCUCUUCCCUGGAAGCCAAGGAACCAACUGUUUGCAGAGGAUCAGAAGGGAUCAGCUCAGAAGCCCGGACCUGGCCUGGCACAUAGAAGCCACCGAAGGGGUCCUGUGCCAAGGACAAACAGGAACGCCCACCCAGUGGGCGGGCCGUCCGUGGUCCAGAACUGGCAGGCCACUGACAAAUAUCCUCUGAGUAAAACUAAGGAAGGACGUCAGCUAUCAUCAGGGGGACUUGUGUGCCCCAGAGCCUACAGGGUGCUCAGGGACUGCAAGAAGAUCUUCCUUCCAGAAACAUUCAGUGGCACCUCCCCUUCUCCGACACUCUGCCGGGCCAUGGAAUUGCAGAGAAGAACGGGAGGGGGCCCUUGCCCUGAAGAACUCACAGAUCUGGAGGCUGGAAGUCCAAGAUCAAGGUGCCAGCGGGAUGGUUUCUGACGUGUAUGAACAAGCUCAAACCAGCCUCUCCAGAGUGAACAAAAGGAAAGGAAAGGGGAACAAAGAAGUGAGGAGAACAACUGUUUCUGUUUGCUUAACAGCCGGAAGACUGGCCCUGAGCCAACAUCCGUGUCCAUCUUCCUCCACCUUAUAUGUGGGACACCUGCCACAGCAUGGCUUGUCAAGUGAUGCCAUGUCUGUACCCGGGAUCCGAACCGGCAAACCCCGGGCCACUGAAGCAGAACGUGCGCACUUAACCGCUGCGCCACAAGGCCAGCCCCCUGGUGACUUUUAAUUACGGCCAAGGCUGACCUUGAGCAGAGGAGAGAAGGCUGCCAUCCGUGCAGCCUGUUUUCGUGGACUUAAGGAACUUCCUGCUUGGUCAUUUAUAUCCUUUCCCUGAUACAGCUUGCUACAUACAGACCCCAACUUCUGGAAUUAGAGGUUGAUUCCUUUGGCUCGAGCCCAGGGUUAAAUUGCAGCUACCUCUGGGGUGGGUUGUUUAGUAAACCUUAGAAGUGCUUUACACCUGCGUGUAUAUACUCCUCAGAUCAAGUCUCUAGAGCAUUGUCUGAUAGAGAAAGGGGCAGGAGGAAUCUGACCGUGAGCAGGGCACAGGGUUUGCCAGGACAGAGCAAACUUACUCAUUUUAUCCAAAACACCUGGUCUGAUCCUGACCGUAACCCACUUGUCAGAUCACACUCGAGGCAUAGAGGACAAUGCAAGCACUUGAUUUAAAUCAUUAGAUCCAGCUUCCUCCUCCUCACAUUUCGCUGUUGACGAGCAACACUUCUAGCCAGAACUAAAUGUCUACAGUCUUGUCUUUCUUGGCCACCCGUGUGUAUUAAGUACAAAGAAACCAUAAAAU
Molecule: long non-coding RNA, 1467 nt
Filed under: Equus asinus (donkey)
Lineage: Eukaryota; Metazoa; Chordata; Mammalia; Perissodactyla; Equidae
Description: lncRNA (ENSEASG00005033204.1)
Source: RNAcentral